RNAcentral lists this ribosomal RNA (254 nucleotides) under uncultured bacterium. Its description in RNAcentral is "partial 16S ribosomal RNA". It matches the Rfam family "Bacterial small subunit ribosomal RNA", at positions 524 to 776 of the family's 1533-position model. The record is from RNAcentral.
UACGGAGGGGACUAGCGUUGUUCGGAAUUACUGGGCGUAAAGCGCACGUAGGCGGAUUUGUAAGUCAGGGGUGAAAUCCCGGGGCUCAACCUCGGAACUGCCUUUGAUACUGCAAAUCUCGAGUCCGGAGGAGGUGAGUGGAAUUCCGUAGUGUAGAGGUGAAAUUCGUAGAUAUUAGGAAGAACACCAGUGGCGAAGGCGGCUCACUGGUCCGGUACUGACGCUGAGGUGCGAAAGCGUGGGGAGCAAACAGG